UCAAUUAUGAACCCAGAAGGAUACUAAAUAACCUAGGAAAAGUUUAUUCCAAACCAAAUCAGCAACCAAACUCAAAAUAGCUUGAAUAAGACCCUAACCAACUUAAAUCGAAUCCAGGAAAAAUAUUGGAAAGUUAACUCUUCAAAUAUGCGUAUUUCAGGUUAUUUUUCUAUCCUAUAUGGCUAAAUUUCUACUGGACAGCUGAGAGUUAGAAUUAUUCUGAGGAUAGAGGAUCUAAUGGAGCAGUAAAAUCACUGAAUUUCAGAGGAUUUCAGUAACUUAAUACACUUUGGAUUUUUGGAAUCUUUUUCAGAAACUUUUGAGAAUUUUUAGGCUUCAAAAUUUCUAGGAAAUUUUCAGAGCUCUUUUAGAAUGUCUGUAAAGUCUUUUUUUUAAUCUCAAUAGCCAAAAGCUAGGGCAACCCCAUUAUUUUGUUUUAACCACUAGCCUCUCUUCUAAUUUUCAGAUUUUACUUACUUGGUCCUUUAUUUUUUGACUUGCUU
RNAcentral lists this long non-coding RNA (503 nucleotides) under Nicotiana benthamiana. Its description in RNAcentral is "long non-coding RNA (NBEN_LNC035585)". Lineage: Eukaryota; Viridiplantae; Streptophyta; Magnoliopsida; Solanales; Solanaceae. The record is from RNAcentral.